RNAcentral lists this small nuclear RNA (79 nucleotides) under Homo sapiens (human). RNAcentral describes it as "partial ncRNA". The record is from RNAcentral. Lineage: Eukaryota; Metazoa; Chordata; Mammalia; Primates; Hominidae.
AGAGAAUCGCUUGAACCUGGGAGGCCGAGUUUGCUGUGAGCCAAGAUUGCACCACUGCACUCCAGCCUGGGUGACAGAG